RNAcentral lists this non-coding RNA (20 nucleotides) under Rattus norvegicus (Norway rat). The record is from RNAcentral. Lineage: Eukaryota; Metazoa; Chordata; Mammalia; Rodentia; Muridae.
CACUUGAGCCCGGUGGCCUC